Molecule: long non-coding RNA, 1141 nt
Filed under: Anas platyrhynchos platyrhynchos (common mallard)
Lineage: Eukaryota; Metazoa; Chordata; Aves; Anseriformes; Anatidae
Description: lncRNA (ENSAPLG00000025586.1)
Source: RNAcentral
GUCCUAUUUGUUGUGUGACUGAAACUUGAUCUGCAAACCAGGCUGAAGAAAUCAGCCGACCUUCUCCUCCCCGUUCCUUUUGGGCAUGGCUUUGUUGCAGCCCACUGCCACGAGGUGCAGCAGAAGCGGCAAGAUCCCAAGCUGUCAAGUGUCAAAUGAUGCUUUAUCCAGGACCCAAAUUUGAGAGGGAUGCAGCAGUUCAGCCAUGCGUUUGCCUGGGCUUUUUGGAUGAUCCAGCAGGCUAGAACAGGACGGUAGAGGAAGAUAGCCAGCAGAAGAAAGAAUCUCUGCCACAGCGUUGCAGGUGGGUCAUUAUUUAUUGCAUGUUUAUUAAAACAGACCGAGUUGUACCAGCCCAUUGAGACUUCAGGGAGCAGCGUAGUGAUUGACUUGGUAACAGCCUUCAUUCCUCGCUGCAGCCAUCUGUCCUGGGAGGAACCAGUACCCUCAGGUAAUGCUGCCAAUCAAGAUACUGAUGUUUUAAAAAGUGGAAGUGAUCAGCUGGAACAGUUGUAAGGGUAUUUUAAGUCCAGGCUAUUGGCCAUAUGCCAAGCUGAGUUACUAUGCUUCACCAUCAGAGACUCAUCUUCAUUUUGGAUACGAUAUUCUCUUUUCAUUUCCUCUUUCAAGAAUUAUUCUAAAUAUUUCUAAGAGUUGUUGCGUUCCACCCCACAUAAGAUCUUUGUAAACUCUAAGGCUCGUGCAACCUUCAUUCCUCAGGUCAGCAGCAAUGCAGGAAAGCCAGCCCAGCCUUCCUAGAUGCUGCUUGGGCUGGAGCAGUGGGAUAAGGAGGUGCCCAAGGGGGUCAGAGCCAAGCUGGAAGGAGCAGCCUGAGCAGGAGCUGGGAGCAGCACGGCAAUGGGCUGGAGGACUGGUGCCUGCCCAUGCUGCCGAGAAGGAAAUCCACCCACAGAGGCGACGUGGAGGUGCUGCCUCGGGAUGUAUUUAUGGUGCAGGCUCACUGGCUCGGCUCCACAAAAUUUGUAGUACAGGGAGGGCUGAUAAAAAGCAAUUCAGAGGAGCCCGGUCGGUGCGGAGACACAAUAUGCCAGUGCUGGCUGUAAGCAGCGAUGAGACGACCUCAGCAGUCCCGCGGUCCUGUGGGGAUUGUCAGGGACUGCUAAUGAACAUGGGCUUGUGA